GCGAGUCUUAAGGGCGCAUGGAGGAUGCCUAGGCUCCUGGAGGCGAUGAAGGACGCGAUAAGCUGCGAAAAUCCGCGGGGAGGUGCAAGUAACCAUUGAUCCGCGGGUAUCCGAAUGGGGCAACCCGCCUGGUUGAAGGCCAGGCACCUGCAGUAAUGCAGGGGCGAACCCGCUGAACUGAAACAUCUAAGUAGGCGGAGGAAAAUAAAACAAGAGUGAUUCCCUAAGUAGUGGCGAGCGAACGGGGAGCAGCCCAAACCGGUGUUGUUUUGGCAAUACCGGGGUUGAAGGACUGCCGUUACUUGAUAUCAAAUGAAAUGGAACGGUUUGGAAAAACUGGUCAUAGAGGGUGAUAACCCCGUACAUGCAAGUUUGAUGUUGAUAGGCAGUAUCCUGAGUAGCGCGGGACACGAGGAAUCUUGCGUGAAACAGCCGGGACCAUCCGGCAAGGCUAAAUACUCCUGGGAGACCGAUAGUGAACCAGUACCGUGAGGGAAAGGUGAAAAGCACCCCGGACAGGGGAGUGAAAUAGUACCUGAAACCGUGCGCCUACAAGCGGUCGGAGCCCUUUUGAGGGGUGACGGCGUGCCUUUUGCAUAAUGAGCCUACGAGUUGUUCCUUACCAGCGAGGUUAAGCGUUUUAAGGCGCGGAGCCGCAGUGAAAGCGAGCCUGAAGAGGGCGUAUAGUUGGUAGGGACAGACGCGAAACCUAGUGAUCUACCCAUGGUCAGGCUGAAGUUCCGGUAACACGUGAUGGAGGGCCGAACCAGUAAACGUUGAAAAGUUUUUGGAUGAAUUGUGGGUAGGGGUGAAAGGCUAAUCAAACUGGGAAAUAGCUCGUACUCCCCGAAAUGCAUUUAGGUGCAGCCUCAUGAUAAGUUUUAUAGAGGUAGAGCUACUGAUAGGACGCGAGGGCUUCAUCGCCUAUCAACUCCUGACAAACUCCGAAUGCUAUAAAAUGUUUCAUGGGAGUGAGGGCAUGGGUGCUAAGGUCCAUGCCCGAGAGGGAAAGAACCCAGACCAUCGGCUAAGGUCCCCAAAUGUAUGCUAAGUUGAAUUCAAACGCGGUAUGGUUGCAGCGACAGCCAGGAUGUUGGCUUGGAAGCAGCCAUUCAUUUAAAGAGUGCGUAACAGCUCACUGGUCGAGCGACCGUGCAUGGAUAAUAAUCGGGCAUAAGCAUACUACCGAAGCCAUGGACUUGUACAUUAGUACAAUUGGUAGGGGAGCAUUCCAAGUGCGUAGAAGAGGUCUCGCGAGGGGUCUUGGAGCGUUUGGAAAAGCAAAUGUAGGCAUGAGUAACGAUAAAACGGGUUAGAAACCUGUUCGCCGAAAGACUAAGGAUUCCUGAUCAACGUUAAACGGAUCAGGGUUAGUCGGGGCCUAAGGCUAAGCCGAGAGGCGAUGUCGAUGGACAGCAGGUUAAUAUUCCUGCACCUGCCAUCCACUAAAAGUGACGAAGUGUCGAGGUACCUGGGUGCUGACGGAAUAGCACGCUGAGCAUAGCCCUCGGGCGAAGCGAAGGUAAUUAGAUGCUUCCUGGAAAAGCGAGGAUGGCAGCCCGUACCGUAAACGGACACACGUAGUUGGGUUGAGUAUACUAAGGCGCUCGAGUGAUUCACGGCUAAGGAACUCGGCAAAUUAACCCUGUAACUUCGGGAAAAAGGGUCCCUGCCUCAGGGCAGGGCGCAGAGAAAUGGCCCAGGCGACUGUUUAGCAAAAACACAUGGCUAUGCAAAUUCGAAAGAAGACGUAUAUGGCCUGACACCUGCCCGGUGCCGGAAGGUUAAGAGGAGAUGUUAGUUUCGGCGAAGCAUUGAAUUGAAGCCCCGGUAAACGGCGGCCGUAACUAUAACGGUCCUAAGGUAGCGAAAUUCCUUGUCGGGUAAGUUCCGACCUGCACGAAUGGUGUAACGAUCUGGGCACUGUCUCAGCCAUGAGCUCGGUGAAAUUGAAGUAACGGUGAAGAUGCCGUUUACCCGCAACGGGACGGAAAGACCCCGUGAACCUUCACUACAACUUAACAUUGACUCUGGAUAAAUGAUGUGUAGGAUAGGUGGGAGACUAUGAAUCGGAGGCGCUAGCUUUCGAGGAGUCGUCCUUGAAAUACCACCCUUUAUUUAUCUGGAGCCUAAUCCUGUAAACACGGGAGACAUUGUUUGGUGGGUAGUUUGACUGGGGUGGUCGCCUCCAAAAGAGUAACGGAGGCUUUCAAAGGUACCCUCAGCACGCUUGGUAACCGUGCGUAGAGUGCAAUAGCAUAAGGGUGCUUGACUGUGAGACAAACAAGUCGAGCAGGUAGGAAACUAGGAUAUAGUGAUCCGGUGGUUCCGCAUGGAAGGGCCAUCGCUCAAAGGAUA
This 2358-nucleotide ribosomal RNA is filed under the name freshwater metagenome. Its description in RNAcentral is "bacterial LSU rRNA". It matches the Rfam family "Bacterial large subunit ribosomal RNA", at positions 1 to 2458 of the family's 2925-position model. The record is from RNAcentral.